RNAcentral lists this small RNA (158 nucleotides) under Bacteroides gallinarum. RNAcentral's name for it is "Bacteroides sRNA BTnc231". It matches the Rfam family "Bacteroides sRNA BTnc231". Rfam says of the family: An uncharacterized small RNA discovered in Bacteroides thetaiotaomicron The record is from RNAcentral. Lineage: Bacteria; Pseudomonadati; Bacteroidota; Bacteroidia; Bacteroidales; Bacteroidaceae.
ACGUUUUUUUCAUAGAGAUUUAGAUUUAAGGUUAGAAGAAUUGUGGAAGUCGUGAGACUUCCCUUUUUUUCGCCUUGAGGUUGUCUUUACCGGUUUUUCCUCUUUAUGGAUACGGCCGUAAAAGAACAGAAAAGCCCUUUCAUGCGAAAGGGCUUUUC